Molecule: long non-coding RNA, 80 nt
Organism: Amblyraja radiata (thorny skate)
Lineage: Eukaryota; Metazoa; Chordata; Chondrichthyes; Rajiformes; Rajidae
Exons: 3
Source: RefSeq, a predicted model, not a curated record
GUGGUCAUAGGGAGAACAUACAAACUCUGUAUAGACAGCAUCCUUAGUUAGGAUCGAAUCCAUGAGUCUAGCUCUACUGC